This 721-nucleotide ribosomal RNA is filed under the name Escherichia sp. RNAcentral describes it as "bacterial SSU rRNA". It matches the Rfam family "Bacterial small subunit ribosomal RNA", at positions 23 to 733 of the family's 1533-position model. Lineage: Bacteria; Pseudomonadati; Pseudomonadota; Gammaproteobacteria; Enterobacterales; Enterobacteriaceae. The record is from RNAcentral.
CUCAGAUUGAACGCUGGCGGCAGGCCUAACACAUGCAAGUCGAACGGUAACAGGAAGAGCUUGCUUCUUUGCUGACGAGUGGCGGACGGGUGAGUAAUGUCUGGGAAACUGCCUGAUGGAGGGGGAUAACUACUGGAAACGGUAGCUAAUACCGCAUAACGUCGCAAGACCAAAGAGGGGGACCUUCGGGCCUCUUGCCAUCGGAUGUGCCCAGAUGGGAUUAGCUAGUAGGUGGGGUAACGGCUCACCUAGGCGACGAUCCCUAGCUGGUCUGAGAGGAUGACCAGCCACACUGGAACUGAGACACGGUCCAGACUCCUACGGGAGGCAGCAGUGGGGAAUAUUGCACAAUGGGCGCAAGCCUGAUGCAGCCAUGCCGCGUGUAUGAAGAAGGCCUUCGGGUUGUAAAGUACUUUCAGCGGGGAGGAAGGGAGUAAAGUUAAUACCUUUGCUCAUUGACGUUACCCGCAGAAGAAGCACCGGCUAACUCCGUGCCAGCAGCCGCGGUAAUACGGAGGGUGCAAGCGUUAAUCGGAAUUACUGGGCGUAAAGCGCACGCAGGCGGUUUGUUAAGUCAGAUGUGAAAUCCCCGGGCUCAACCUGGGAACUGCAUCUGAUACUGGCAAGCUUGAGUCUCGUAGAGGGGGGUAGAAUUCCAGGUGUAGCGGUGAAAUGCGUAGAGAUCUGGAGGAAUACCCGGUGGCGAAGGCGGCCCCCUGGA